CCAUCAUCUGUUACAGUGUUAACAAUGUUGG
Molecule: regulatory RNA element, 31 nt
Organism: Callipepla squamata (scaled quail)
Lineage: Eukaryota; Metazoa; Chordata; Aves; Galliformes; Odontophoridae
Rfam family: Iron response element II
About the family: IRE, TFRC, SLC40A1, SDHB, SLC11A2, CDC42BPA, ACO2, ALAS2_H.SAPIENS, CDC14A, EPAS1, ALAS2, qoxD, Hao1, NDUFS1, transferrin, Aconitate.
Source: Rfam